This 506-nucleotide ribosomal RNA is filed under the name uncultured Propionibacterium sp. RNAcentral's name for it is "bacterial SSU rRNA". It matches the Rfam family "Bacterial small subunit ribosomal RNA", at positions 8 to 525 of the family's 1533-position model. The record is from RNAcentral. Lineage: Bacteria; Bacillati; Actinomycetota; Actinomycetes; Propionibacteriales; Propionibacteriaceae.
AGAGUUUGAUCCUGGCUCAGGACGAACGCUGGCGGCGUGCUUAACACAUGCAAGUCGAACGGAAAGGCCCUGCUUUUGUGGGGUGCUCGAGUGGCGAACGGGUGAGUAACACGUGAGUAACCUGCCCUUGACUUUGGGAUAACUUCAGGAAACUGGGGCUAAUACCGGAUAGGAGCUCCUGCUGCAUGGUGGGGGUUGGAAAGUUUCGGCGGUUGGGGAUGGACUCGCGGCUUAUCAGCUUGUUGGUGGGGUAGUGGCUUACCAAGGCUUUGACGGGUAGCCGGCCUGAGAGGGUGACCGGCCACAUUGGGACUGAGAUACGGCCCAGACUCCUACGGGAGGCAGCAGUGGGGAAUAUUGCACAAUGGGCGGAAGCCUGAUGCAGCAACGCCGCGUGCGGGAUGACGGCCUUCGGGUUGUAAACCGCUUUCGCCUGUGACGAAGCGUGAGUGACGGUAAUGGGUAAAGAAGCACCGGCUAACUACGUGCCAGCAGCCGCGGUAAUA